This 253-nucleotide ribosomal RNA is filed under the name uncultured bacterium. RNAcentral's name for it is "partial 16S ribosomal RNA". It matches the Rfam family "Bacterial small subunit ribosomal RNA", at positions 524 to 776 of the family's 1533-position model. The record is from RNAcentral.
UACGUAGGGUGCGAGCGUUAAUCGGAAUUACUGGGCGUAAAGCGUGCGCGGGCGGUUUUGUAAGCCAGAUGUGAAAUCCCCGGGCUUAACCUGGGAAUGGCAUUUGGGACUGCAAGGCUGGAGUGUGGCAGAGGAGACUGGAAUUCCUGGUGUAGCAGUGAAAUGCGUAGAUAUCAGGAGGAAUACCGAUGGCGAAGGCAGGUCUCUGGGCUGACACUGACGCUCAUGCACGAAAGCGUGGGGAGCAAACAGG